Molecule: ribosomal RNA, 403 nt
Filed under: uncultured bacterium
Lineage: Bacteria
Description: partial 16S ribosomal RNA
Rfam family: Bacterial small subunit ribosomal RNA
Source: RNAcentral
GACGAACGCUGGCGGCGUGCCUAAUACAUGCAAGUCGAACGCAGUGGGGACGGGUGAGUAACACGUGGGUAACCUCCCAUCAGAGGGGAUAACAAGUGGAAACAGGUGCUAAACCGAUACUGAUGGAUGGACCCGCGGUGCAUUAGCUCGUUGGUGCAGUAACGGCUCACCCAGGCCACGAUGCAUAGCCAACCUGAGAGGGUGAGAGGCCACACUGAGACGGAGACACGGCCCAGACACCUACGGGAGGCAGCAGUAGGGAAUCUUAGGCAAUGGACGAAAGUCUGCCCGAGCAACGCCGCCUGAGUGAAGAAGGUUUUCGGAUCGUAAAACUCUGUUGUUAGAGAAGCGGUAUCUAACCAGAAAGCCACGGCUAACUACGUGCCAGCAGCCGCGGUAAUUC